This 207-nucleotide ribosomal RNA is filed under the name uncultured bacterium. RNAcentral describes it as "partial 16S ribosomal RNA". It matches the Rfam family "Bacterial small subunit ribosomal RNA", at positions 568 to 774 of the family's 1533-position model. The record is from RNAcentral.
CGUGCAGGCGGUAUGGUAAGUCGGACGUGAAAGCUCCUGGCUCAACCGGGAGAGGCCGUUCGAAACUACCAAACUUGAGGGCAGUAGAGGGAGGUGGAAUUCCGGGUGUAGCGGUGAAAUGCGUAGAUAUCCGGAGGAACACCAGUGGCGAAGGCGGCCUCCUGGACUGCUCCUGACGCUCAGACGCGAAAGCUAGGGUAGCGAACG